This 343-nucleotide unclassified non-coding RNA is filed under the name soil metagenome. RNAcentral describes it as "partial contains 5.8S ribosomal RNA, internal transcribed spacer 2, and large subunit ribosomal RNA". The stretch from base 1 to 120 matches the Rfam family "5.8S ribosomal RNA", at positions 35 to 154 of the family's 154-position model. The record is from RNAcentral.
GAUGAAGAACGCAGCGAAAUGCGAUAAGUAAUGUGAAUUGCAGAAUUCAGUGAAUCAUCGAAUCUUUGAACGCACAUUGCGCCCGCUAGUAUUCUGGCGGGCAUGCCUGUCCGAGCGUCAUUUCAACCCUCAAGCCCCCGGGCUUGGUGUUGGGGAUCGGCGAGCCUCCGCGCCCGCCGUCCCCUAAAUCUAGUGGCGGUCUCGCUGUAGCUUCCUCUGCGUAGUAGCACACCUCGCACUGGGAAACAGCGCGGCCACGCCGUUAAACCCCCCACUUCUGAACGUUUGCCCUCGGAUCAGGUAGGAAUACCCGCUGAACUUAAGCAUAUCAAUAAGCGGAGGA